AGUGAACGCUGGCGGUAGGCCUAACACAUGCAAGUCGAACGGCAGCACAGAGGAGCUUGCUCCUUGGGUGGCGAGUGGCGGACGGGUGAGGAAUACAUCGGAAUCUACUCUGUCGUGGGGGAUAACGUAGGGAAACUUACGCUAAUACCGCAUACGACCUACGGGUGAAAGCAGGGGAUCUUCGGACCUUGCGCGAUUGAAUGAGCCGAUGUCGGAUUAGCUAGUUGGCGGGGUAAAGGCCCACCAAGGCGACGACCCGUAGCUGGUCUGAGAGGAUGAUCAGCCACACUGGAACUGAGACACGGUCCAGACUCCUACGGGAGGCAGCAGUGGGGAAUAUUGGACAAUGGGCGCGAGCCUGAUCCAGCCAUACCGCGUGGGUGAAGAAGGCCUUCGGGUUGUAAAGCCCUUUUGUUGGGAAAGAAAUCCAUCUGGUUAAUACCCGGGUGGGAUGACGGUACCCAAAGAAUAAGCACCGGCUAACUUCGUGCCAGCCGCCGCAGUAA
This 506-nucleotide ribosomal RNA is filed under the name uncultured bacterium. RNAcentral's name for it is "partial 16S ribosomal RNA". It matches the Rfam family "Bacterial small subunit ribosomal RNA", at positions 29 to 523 of the family's 1533-position model. The record is from RNAcentral.